GUUGGGUUGUUGCUGGCCUCUAGAGGCAUGUGCACGCCCGCCAUCGUUUUCAACCACCUGUGCACCUUUUGUAGACUUUUGGGAAUUACCUUUCGAGGGUCAACAAACCUCGGUUUUGGGGCUUGCUGCGCUGCAAAAGCCGGCUUUUCCUGCAAUUCCCGUGUCUACGCAUCUUAUAUAUACCCCGUAAAGAAUGUAUUAGAAUGCUUCGUUAUUGGCCUUUGGUGCCUUUAAUCAAAUACAACUUUCAGCAACGGAUCUCUUGGCUCUCGCAUCGAUGAAGAACGCAGCGAAAUGCGAUAAGUAAUGUGAAUUGCAGAAUUCAGUGAAUCAUCGAAUCUUUGAACGCACCUUGCGCUCCUUGGUAUUCCGAGGAGCAUGCCUGUUUGAGUGUCAUUAAAUUCUCAACCUAACCAGCUUUUGCAAGCUUGGAUAGGCUUGGUUGUGGGGGUUUUGCGGGCUUCACUUCGAAGUCAGCUCCCCUUAAAUGCAUUAGUUGGAACCCUUUGUUGACCUGUUCCUGGUGUGAUAAUUAUCUACAUCGCGUGCAGUCAGCUGUUGAAUGGGCUUUUCUGCUUCUAACCAGUACCACCCUUUUACCGGGGGGAACGCUUUUUGACCAUUUGACCUCAAAUCAGG
RNAcentral lists this ribosomal RNA (639 nucleotides) under Termitomyces sp. DKA-2007. Its description in RNAcentral is "eukaryotic LSU rRNA". The stretch from base 243 to 396 matches the Rfam family "5.8S ribosomal RNA". Lineage: Eukaryota; Fungi; Basidiomycota; Agaricomycetes; Agaricales; Lyophyllaceae. The record is from RNAcentral.